This 562-nucleotide long non-coding RNA is filed under the name Gossypium raimondii (Peruvian cotton). RNAcentral describes it as "long non-coding RNA (GRAI_LNC001610)". Lineage: Eukaryota; Viridiplantae; Streptophyta; Magnoliopsida; Malvales; Malvaceae. The record is from RNAcentral.
UUCCAUUCGUUCUUUUCCCGUGCAGUGAUCGAAAAAAGAAUGGGGUAAAUGUUUAAUUUUUGCAUUCAGAAACAUACACAACCAAUCAUUCGUAGCCACUUAUUUAUCUAACCUGCAUACCCGACAUCUCUUAAGCAGCAUUCAUCUAGAACAUUCUUGAACAACUCCAUUCGUCAUUCAUUUUUGGGAGCACCCCUAAUUUUCUCAAAAAAAAAAUAUUUAUCUCAUGAAAAUCCCCACAAACAAGCCAUUGGAUCCUCCCUAAACUUUUGAGGAUGUUCCACGAAUCUUCUCUAUUACUUGCACACGGAGCCCCAUAGAACCCACUGAACCUCUAUUCCCAAGCUUCAUCCGCUUCUUUGACCACUACAUCCACAUGGUUUUUUGAGAAACUACGUAGAGUAAUUACGAUCGAAUCCUUUCAUGCCAGGCAUAAUCCUCCAUGAGUACCUACUACCGAUACAUCAAUCCCAUUAACGAACCCUCAUCUGCUUCUAAUUAUUGCCAUCUGUUUCUCACGUGUCGAAGCCUUCUAAUCGUCCUUGGAUUCCCCAGUCCACAA